Molecule: transfer RNA, 60 nt
Organism: Loxodonta africana (African savanna elephant)
Lineage: Eukaryota; Metazoa; Chordata; Mammalia; Proboscidea; Elephantidae
Rfam family: tRNA
About the family: Transfer RNA (tRNA) molecules are approximately 80 nucleotides in length.
Source: Rfam
AGUGGUUUAAGUGUUUGGCUACUAACCAAAAGGUUGGAGGUUUGAAUCCACUAGCCACUC